Molecule: ribosomal RNA, 290 nt
Filed under: uncultured bacterium
Lineage: Bacteria
Description: partial 16S ribosomal RNA
Rfam family: Bacterial small subunit ribosomal RNA
Source: RNAcentral
GAUGAACGCUGGCGGUGCGCCUAAUACAUGCAAGUCGAACGAUAAACUUGGAUUUAUUCAAGUCGAAAGUGGCGGACGAGCGAGUAACACGUAAGAACCUGCCCUAUACUCAGGGACAACCUGCCGAAAGGUGGGCUAAUACCGGAUAGUCUCGAAAGAGUAAAGCUUUUGCGGUAUAGGAGGGGCUUGCGGCCUAUCAGCUAGUUGGUAAGGUAAAGGCUUACCAAGGCUACGACAGGUAACUGGUGUGAGAGCAUGACCAGUCGCGAUGGAACUGAGACACGGUCCAU